Molecule: long non-coding RNA, 2920 nt
Organism: Cydia fagiglandana
Lineage: Eukaryota; Metazoa; Arthropoda; Insecta; Lepidoptera; Tortricidae
Exons: 2
Source: RefSeq, a predicted model, not a curated record
CGCCGCCCGACGACACGCGCUUCGGGCCCGUGCAGCGCCCGCCCCACCCGCACCCGCACCCACACCCCCACCCCCGACCCGUCUAGACAUCGCCGAAUCCCACCGAAACCGAACCACAAACCGACGAGCACAACACAAAAUCCAAAAUCUUCCAAACGACACAUUAUUCAAAAAUAUGUAUCUAUGAUUUAAAUACUGCAAGAUAUACGAUUCACACAAAACAGCUAAAAUCAAUAUAAACUAUACUGAGUCAAGCAGAUCUUGUCAGUAGAAAAAGGCGGCAAAUUUGAAAAAUGUAGGCGCGAAAGGAUAUCAUCCCAUAGAAAAUUUGAAUCUCGCGCCUUUUUCUACUGACAAGAUUUGCUUGACCAUCUAUAUUUAGGAGCUCUAGAAGGACGCGCAUUUGAAAAACAAUUGAUAUACAUAUACCGUUAACACAAUAUGGAACGUAACUGGCUAACACUAAAGUGGGCCCACGGAUAACCAGUUCGCAGGACGAUAUCGACCUGUCAGUUGUUCGGAGCUGUCAAAUUUUGCGUUUAACUGACAGGCUGAUAUCGUCCGGCAAACUGGCAACCAGUUGGGCCCCUUAAAGCUCAAAUUCCUUGCAUAUCCAGUAAAACUCGCCCCUAUAGGCGUUUGGUGUGAAUGGUGUAAAAAAAUAUUAACAUAAAGACAUUACUUUAUAAAAAUAUUGACAUAAAAACAUUACUUUAUUUCAUGAUUGUGACAUGAAUAUUUAAUAUCGGAUAUGACAUUUUAAGAUCACAGAUUGACACGAGAUACCAUUCGUCCUACGUCCCAGUAGGACCCUAAUUUAAAGCACUUACAAAACUUAGGGCGAGAUGCCCCUCAAAUAAUUAACGUUAGCCGGUCAGAUCGUUAAUACUCUAUACAUCUAGCGCGACUUCAAGUAUGGACUCGCGCGCGCAUGGUUACAGCCGGCCUAGCCAAGGUGACAAUCGCUAUAUAUCGCUACGAUAACGAAACGCUUCGUGUCUCUAUCACUCUUCCACAGCGGUCGGUAACAAGCGGCCCGCGAGCCUCCCUGGCUAUUUUGUAUGUAAUAUUGAUAAACGUCAAUGUCUGAUAAAGUCAUAAAUAUUAACAGUGCGGCCCGCGUCAACUUCGUUAACUACUAUGUGGCCCUUGGCUGCUAAAAGGUUGCCGACCGCUGCUCGUCCAUAUUAGUGCGACAGUGACGGUUGCGUUUCGAUCGCUACGGAGCGUAAGCGAUUGACAUGUUGGCUACGCGGCCUGGUAUGAUUAUCGUUAAAUAUGGCGGCAAAGCAGCCGUCAGUCCAUAGAAAACUGUCAAACUAUUCAUACAAAUUGAAACGUAGAAAGAUUGGUGUAACUUUAGUAUACGAUAUUGACUUAUGAAGCACGGAAAAUGUAAAACAUCUGAAGAUUUAAAGUUUUGUGCCUUACAACACGAAUGCAUCACGCUUUGAUAAUUCGUUUACAACGAUGUUCGCGAUGUAUUGCUAUAGUACGUCGACUCGAUAUAGCGCAUAGCCUAGCUAGACUAUAACAUUAUAUGUGACGUUCCACGACAAAAGGUAUGUUAUGGCGGCUGGCGUUUACGUCGCAUAGCGCCGCAAUAAUAUUGGAGCGGCGUUAAUAAUAGCGUAAGCGCCAACCGCCAUAAGGUACCUUUACCCGUACGACGUCACAUAUGUGAACGAUUCUUGUUAUGUCAAUUAAUCAACUUUUUUAUUGACAUUUGACACUCGUUGCCACGGUUACCAUCUCCUGGACAACUCUUAAAACCCUGAUAUAUGACGCCUCUGUAACAAAACCACCGGUGGUGGGUCGUAGGUAAUUCGCCAGUAACUGAUCGCCCUAACCUAAAAAUGAAUUCUAUUUACCUACAAACAGAAUUCAUUUUAGCUUAAGGGCCCCCCACAUCUAGCGUCUUUCGAGCGUCGGCGUCUGGUCAGCGCUAUGGAAAAUGACGUCGCUGCGCAGUUGCGUCGACGUUGCGUCGAGCGUGGCCAUACAGUUGUAGACGCCGACGCUCGAAAGAUGCUAGAUGUGGGGGGGCCCUAAGGCCUCAAUAACUGGCCAGCUUUCAAUAUCUGGCCACCUUAUGCUAAAAUGAAUUCUGUUUAUAGGCGAAUAGAAUUAAUUUUUAGUUUAGGGCGGCCAGUUAAUUUUGCCUGCGUGACAGCGCAACGUGAUAAGUGAUACUUGUUUAAUCACGUGGAUAUAUCCAUCCAUAAUAAGUCUUCUGUAAAGAUUUGAUUGACACUUUUAUCAUCAAUCGUGUCAUACUUUUCCAAUGUAUUUCGAUUAUUCAUUAUGUUGAUUUUGUGAAUGAAUAAUCCAACAUCUUGUCAAAGAAAGAGACAAUAUGUUAUCAAUGUGUCUCAAGGACUUAACGCAUGUAAUAAAUCUACCGCAUGGCGCGUAAUUAUAAUUACUUGAUUACAUAUUAGCAAUAAAGGCAAUUUAUAAGUCUGAUUGUAAUUUUCACAGACCGAUAAGACUUAGAGCUGUAAUUAAAAGACUUAAAAUAUCUACGCCUAUUUGACAAAACCCUGAAAUGCUAACCUUAGAACCUGUGUAUAGUUUUUAUCCUUUUGGAUGACAAGAACGCGAAAGGGUUAAACCAAUUGAUAUUUCGAGGAUUUGAAUCAAAAUAUCAGUAUCUCCUUUUUAUGUUGAAUCAACCUUGAGUACAGGUUUUUAAACGAUCGCCUGUAACCGUUGCAAGCCUCCGUAUGCUACGAUAUCCGCUCACCAGGCUGUUUACCACGUGGUAUAAUUGGCAGCUCCAAGUCUUAUCCCUGUACUGAGCCUUUGGCUCUCGACCCCAAAACUGACGUAUGACGAAGUUUGUAUGGAACUAAUAAGAGUAUUAUAACCGACCGCAGGUUGUAUGUAAACGAUAAGUGAAAUGUAUAUUAUAGAUGAA